Ipomoea nil (Japanese morning glory) is the source of this 1789-nucleotide long non-coding RNA. RefSeq lists it as uncharacterized. NCBI's taxonomy places the organism in Eukaryota, Viridiplantae, Streptophyta, Magnoliopsida, Solanales, Convolvulaceae. The transcript has 2 exons. The record is from RefSeq and is a predicted model, not a curated record.
UUGUUAAUGAUAUGAUAUGAUGGUAAGCAUAUUAGAUGCCCCCUCCCCCCAAUUGGUCAUUGUGUUAUUUUAGUUCAUAACUAUUUUCACAAACUUACCUUGUCCUAGCAGCUGUAAGACCAAAACUAGGAAGCUAAUUAGAUUGUAGCAAAAAGUGUAGUUUAAGUCUGCAGAAAAACGUGGAGGAAACCCCCAACCCAAUUGGCUCAUAAAAGGUUUCAGGGCAGCAGUUGAGGGAAGCAGUCUAAGGGACUUCGAAUUCCAGGGAGAUACCAAUUAACCAAUACACUGGAGAAAUGGAGGGGUUCACAAAACUGGAUUUAAGCCAAAUUAGAUAGGAUCUUAACCUCUGAUUUCUGAACACUAGGGCUACAUCGGUUGAAGCUUCGAAGAGCAAUCAUCUCGCACUGUAUCUCCACCUAAAUAUCUCUACUUCAAGGCGGCGUAACUACUUAUAGGUUCAUUUUUGAAAAUUUGUGGCUCAAAGAAAGCCUCCAAAGUUGGGAUUCAACUCCUUACCAUAAUUGAGAGAUGUUGGAAAGCUGUGUGGGAACUGGGAAUGGGGUAAAAAAAUUUCAGGGGACUUAUGAUAUUGAUUUUUGUGUGAUUCUAGACUAGUUAUUAUGUUUGAAUUGAACUUGUUAUGAACUAUUUAUAACAUUUUAUAAACUUGUAAGUAUUAAUAUGUUUGAAUAAUUGUAGGUUCAUAUGUAAUUCUAGAAUACCGACCUAGGCUUUUAUUUAACCAAAGCACACCCCAACUCUGCUCAUUUUCAUCCAUCAUACUUUGUUUCUUGGUAAAACCAAUUGAAUCCAGCCAGUAGCUGAUCCAGAAUUUUGAAUAUUAAAUAUUUGGGAAAAAUUAGUAUUAAUUGAGUAUAUAAUAAGAAUUUAUAUGAUAUAAUUUUUCAAUUUAUAGCCAUAGAUUUGGCCCUGAAUCCAGUUUUGUUUUCUGUGUGCCCAACUUUUGUUUAUGUUUCUACCUAUAACAAGAAAGAGGUGAAAGGAUUUGGAAGAAAGGUUUUAUUAUCAUCAUCUUACAGUAGGGGUAGCUUACAGCUUAUAUACAGAGAGUCUUAGAGCAAGAAAAGAAAGCUAACUACUUUGCUGAGAUCACUAAGUAACAAACUGUGAAUAGUAAAAACAGUUUUAACUGCUUCUAACUAACUUAACAGCUAGGCACAGUAAAACCUGAAACACUAAAAGAUUAAGUCUUGUUUUCAGCUUGAGCUUGAUUGUCUUCUAACAUCCCCGCAAGCUGGAUCAUACAUAUUAUGUAGGCCAAACUUGGAUAUGUAGGACAUGAAACUUGAUGGAGAAUGAGGUUUGGUGAACACAUUAGCUAGCUGACUUUGGGAUGAAACAUGUAGCAGCUUGAUUACUCCACUCUGCAAUUUUUCCUUUAUGAGCAGGUGUAUGAAGAUUAACUUCCAAGGCUUUCAACAAGUAACAUAGCCACUGAAUCUCACAAAAGGUUGCAGCAAUUGCCCUAUAUUCAGCCUCUGAGGAGGACCUUGACAUAGUUAAUUGUUUCUUUGCCUUCCAAGAAAUCAAAGCUGUUCCCAGAAAUAUGCAGAAGGUAGUCUAUUGAUUAUGUAUACAACAUGUAAAAUGCACUCUCCCCAAAAAUAAUUAGGCAGGUUGGCUUGAGUUUUUAAAGCUCUGGCUGUGGACAAAAUGUGACCAUGCUUCAUUUCCACUACACUGUUUUGUUGGGGGGUGUAUAUACAGGAGGUUUGAUGUAAUAUCCUUGUCUGUGAAUAGAACUCUGACAUUGUGAAUUCUUUUC